Molecule: ribosomal RNA, 442 nt
Filed under: uncultured Bacteroidota bacterium
Lineage: Bacteria; Pseudomonadati; Bacteroidota
Description: bacterial SSU rRNA
Rfam family: Bacterial small subunit ribosomal RNA
Source: RNAcentral
GGGCCCGCACAAGCGGAGGAACAUGUGGUUUAAUUCGAUGAUACGCGAGGAACCUUACCCGGGCUCGAACGGCUAAUGCAUGGAUAUGAAAGUAUCCAGUCUUCGGACAUUAGUCGAGGUGCUGCAUGGUUUGUCGUCAGCUCGUGCCGUGAGGUGUCGGCUUAAGUGCCAUAACGAGCGCAACCCUUACCGUCGGUUGCCAUCAGGUCAUGCUGGGGACUCCGGCGGGACUGCCACCGUAAGGUGUGAGGAAGGUGGGGAUGACGUCAAAUCAGCACGGCCCUUACGUCCGGGGCUACACACGUGUUACAAUGGCCGGUACAGAGGGCAGCUACACAGCGAUGUGAUGCGAAUCUCAUAAAGCCGGUCUCAGUUCGGAUCGAAGUCUGCAACCCGACUUCGUGAAGCCGGAUUCGCUAGUAAUCGCGCAUCAGCCAUGGCG